CCUGGCGGCGAUAGCGCGGUGGUCCCACCUGACUCCAUGCCAAACUCAGCAGUAAAACGCUGUAGCGCCGAUAGUAGGUGUGGGGCACCCCCAUGUAAGAGCGGGAUACUGCCAGAC
RNAcentral lists this ribosomal RNA (117 nucleotides) under Serratia symbiotica. The record is from RNAcentral. Lineage: Bacteria; Pseudomonadati; Pseudomonadota; Gammaproteobacteria; Enterobacterales; Yersiniaceae.